CACGUAGGAGGCGAGCGUUGUCCGGAAUCAUUGGGCGUAAAGAGCGCGCAGGCGGCUUGGCAAGUCGGGUGUGAAAUCCCGGGGCUCAACCCCGGGACUGCAUUCGAUACUGUCAGGCUAGAGGUAGGUAGGGGAGAUCGGAAUUCCUGGUGUAGCGGUGAAAUGCGCAGAUAUCAGGAGGAACACCGGUGGCGAAGGCGGAUCUCUGGGCCUUACCUGACGCUCAGGCGCGAAAGCUAGGUGAGCGAACAGG
This 253-nucleotide ribosomal RNA is filed under the name uncultured bacterium. RNAcentral describes it as "partial 16S ribosomal RNA". It matches the Rfam family "Bacterial small subunit ribosomal RNA", at positions 524 to 776 of the family's 1533-position model. The record is from RNAcentral.